Molecule: long non-coding RNA, 2890 nt
Organism: Mirounga angustirostris (Northern elephant seal)
Lineage: Eukaryota; Metazoa; Chordata; Mammalia; Carnivora; Phocidae
Exons: 3
Source: RefSeq, a predicted model, not a curated record
CCAAGAAAAAAAAAAAUACUGAGCAUCUAUUGCAUAUAGAAUGAACAGAAAAUUGCCCAAGAUGUCAUUUUUGAAGAACUGUUUUAAUUUUGUUAUCUCUGACAGUAAAAACAGUGAUGAUACCCAGUAUUCAGUGCGUGUGUGCCGUCAGGAAUGGCUCAAAGUGCUUUAUAUAGAUUAUUUCAUUUAGUCUUUUCAUGACCUAGGAAGUAAAAGAAAUUUUACCCACUUUUAGAUGACAAAAUUGAAGCUUAGAGAGGUAAAGUAACUGUUCAAGGUUCCACAGCAAGGAUGUAGCAGAGCCCAGAUUGAAACCCAGGUUUCUGAUCCCUGGCCUGUGCCCCUAAGCACCCCACAUCCAGUUCCCCUUGGACUAUUGGCUGAGAUCCCUUGCCUAGCCUCAAGGCUGGGAUAAAGGUGUUGUCACAGCUGGAUGGACAUCCAACUAUAGGCAGUUGGGUGCCUCUACAUCAUGUUGACAGUUUACGGUGGUGAUUACACUCCAUCUCUCAUGAGCAGAACAUACUAUGGGUGUUAUAGGGACAAGGAGAAUUCACUAUGGACUGAGGCUGCUGGGAAGGCCUUUUGUUGGAAAUGGGCUAGACCCUCCCACCCCAGGAGAGAAUUUGGAAAUGUUUGGAGGCAUUUUUGCUUGACCCAGGGACUGACAUUUAGAGUGUGUGUCUGUGGGGAGAGGGAGCAGAAAUGUUGAGGACCUUGGCAUGCAUAGAUGAACUGUCCCACCCCAAAUGCCAAGAGCACCAUUGAGACCCUGGGCCCUUGGGUGAGUCUCUGAACUUUAGAUACUGUGUGGGGGCAUUUCUCUUCUUCAAAGAGGCCAGAAAAUCUUGAUGGUUGUUGGCUGUGCAAACAGAGCCCUGAUUUAGGACUUGGACUGACGACCUACCUCUGCCUUCAGAGAUCUUAUAAAACCUUGGACAAACUGAGGAUGGAGGAAGAGGGUUGCAGGCCAAGGAAUGUGGGCAGUCUCUGGAAGUUGAAAAAGGCAAGGAAAUGGAUUCUUCCCUAGAGCUCCCAGAGAAGAACUCAGUCCUGCCAACAUCUUGAUCUUAACCCAUGAGACCCGUGUUGAACUUCUAACCUACAGAGCUGUGCUGUCUAGCGGGACUACCGUAUUUCAAGGACAGAAUCUGCCAAUUUGAGAAAGUCUCCGUGCGUAUACGUCUUUCUCCUUUUGAAGUUUUUCUAAGAUAUUCUCAGUGUUUUCUAGAAGAAGGAGGCGUUCAGUGUUGUUCGAUGGGGGGUUUCUCACUUCUUCCAUCCCACGCGUUAGUCCCCAGACUGAAUGAAUACAUUUGCAAGAAACGGAAUCUUAACUAGGGUCAACUCCUAUAAAUGUCUGAAACUUGAGGUGCCCCCAGCAAACAUGACGUCUGGCAAAUAGUCCAUAAAACUCUGCUUUAAAAUAAUUAAAUGAAAUGGUCACCAGGGAGGGCAAGAAUGGCAUGGCCCAGGGGCGUCGACAGAGCAUAGACUCUAUUUUCUUUAGCCUGCUAAUCGGUAUGUUGGCCUCAGACCUCCUGUACCCUUCUGGUGGAGCCUCAAAUCCCCCAUCUCACUGGAUAACGGCCUUCGUUUUAUAAUCAAAACCUUUUUUGUUCAGAAGCUAGUCUUUAUCUCAAAAAGACUGAGCGAGUUCAACUUACAUUUAGAAGAAUUUUGCUCCGGAGGGAGGAUGGCUUGGCUUUCUAAUCAGAAGGCUCGGGUCAAGCGAAAGGUGGAUUGAUUUCUCUACCUGUGCUCUGAAGGAGCAUCAUGUAGCCCAGCUCCCCUCCCCCCCACCCCUUGGCCAGGUGGGAAGGGAGAGGAGGAGGGAGAGAGGGAAGAGAUGGCGUUUCUAGAUGUGGUGUGCAGGAAUCUCCUUGGAAAAACAUGCCUGGUUAUCCCAGGAUGGAACUGAGAAGUGAGUGUAACUCCUCAUGAAGACCGCCAUCUUCUCCUAAAUUGUUGAGUAGAAGGCUAACUACCAUUCUCUUGGGAUUGCUGGGUGGCAGCUCUGUGCUGGAGGCUAACACGCAUCGACAUAUUUAAUCUGCACAGAGGCUCCACGGGUAUGCAUUAUUAACCCCUCCACUUGACAUCUCAUUGGUUCCCCCGUGAGCUCUCCUACCCUGCUUUGGGGCCAGCAAGAUGACAGCCAGUUGAGGUUACUAUGGGAAGACACCACUCUGAUCCCCUGCUGUGGGGAGCAUAUUGAAUGAUGGCCCCUUUGUGGUUUCUCUGGAUCCUCCACCAAGUGUGAGCCACACUUCCUGUGAACUGCUCCCAGCCCAUGACUGAGUGGGGCUACCCAUGAAGGCACAGUCGGAGAGACCCGAGACCCUUCCAACAGGCAAUUUUCUUCUGCUUCGAGGAGUACCCAUCAGCCUGGCCAAACCUUUCUUGGAACUGCACUGCUGUCUGAGACUUUUUUUAAAAAAGAUUUUAUUUAUUUGUUUAUUUGAGAGAGAGUGUGGGCGGGGGGAGGGACAGAGGGAGAAGCAGACUCCCUGCUGAGUGGGGAGCCUGAUGCAGGAGUCGAUCCCAAGACCCUGAGAUCAUGACCUGAGCUGAAGGCAGAUGCUUAAUGGACUGAGCCACCCAGGCGCCCCUGAGACUCUUUCUACCCAACCCUCCUUCCUUUCUUCUCUCCUUCACAGGGAGUCAGAUUGGCACUGUAGUCUGGAGGCUCCCCCCACCUUUUUCCUUCCAGGCAUCCCCCCUGUCAAUAAAUCCCUCACAAAUCUGGUCCUGUCUUAGCGUCUUCCUCUCAGAUGAUCCAAAAUAAUGCACCAGUCAAUGUAGCAACAACCACCACCACGGGUAACAAUGGGCUUGGACUUGAUUUUUUUAUUAUUCUAGGUCUUAUGACAGCCUUGUCAGACUUGAG